RNAcentral lists this ribosomal RNA (252 nucleotides) under uncultured bacterium. RNAcentral's name for it is "partial 16S ribosomal RNA". It matches the Rfam family "Bacterial small subunit ribosomal RNA", at positions 524 to 776 of the family's 1533-position model. The record is from RNAcentral.
UACGGAGGAUGCGAGCGUUAUCCGGAUUUAUUGGGUUUAAAGGGUGCGCAGGCGGCGUGUCAAGUCAGCGGUAAAACGUCGGGGCUCAACCCCGGCCGGCCGUUGAAACUGGCGUGCUCGAGUUGGAGAGAAGUAUGCGGAAUUCGUGGUGUAGCGGUGAAAUGCAUAGAUAUCACGAAGAACCCCGAUUGCGAAGGCAGCAUACCGGCUCCACACUGACGCUGAGGCACGAAAGCGUGGGUAUCGAACCGG